GUUUCUAUAGUUGAAUAACAACAGUAGUAUUUCGGGCUACGGGUUCCAGUUGAAAUUUGGAUAGAGGCA
Molecule: transfer RNA, 69 nt
Filed under: Boulengerula boulengeri (Usambara bluish-gray caecilian)
Lineage: Eukaryota; Metazoa; Chordata; Amphibia; Gymnophiona; Herpelidae
Description: tRNA-Glu
Source: RNAcentral